Molecule: ribosomal RNA, 497 nt
Filed under: uncultured bacterium
Lineage: Bacteria
Description: partial 16S ribosomal RNA
Rfam family: Bacterial small subunit ribosomal RNA
Source: RNAcentral
GAUGAACGCUGGCGGCGUGCCUAAUACAUGCAAGUCGAGCGAACGGACGAGAAGCUUGCUUCACUGAUGUUACCGGCGGACGGGUGAGUAACACGUGGAUAACCUACCUAUAAGACUUGGAUAACUUCGGGAAACCGGAGCUAAUACCGGAUAAUAUUUUGAACCGCAUGGUUCAAAAGUGAAAGACGUUCUUGCUGUCACUUAUAGAUGGAUCCGCGCUGCAUUAGCUAGUUGGUAAGGUAACGGCUUACCAAGGCAACGAUGCAUAGCCGACCUGAGAGGGGGAUCGGCCACACUGGAACUGAGACACGGUCCAGGCUCCUACGGGAGGCAGCAGUAGGGAAUCGUGCGCAAUGGGCGAAAGCCUGACGGAGCAGCGCCGCGUGAGUGAUGAAGGUCUUCGGAUCGUAAAACUCUGUUAUUAGGGAAGAACAUAUGUGUAAGUAACUGUGCACAUCUUGACGGUACCUAAUCAGAAAGCCACGGCUAACUACGUG